Molecule: ribosomal RNA, 510 nt
Filed under: uncultured bacterium
Lineage: Bacteria
Description: partial 16S ribosomal RNA
Rfam family: Bacterial small subunit ribosomal RNA
Source: RNAcentral
GACGAACGCUGGCGGCGUGCUUAACACAUGCAAGUCGAACGAAGAGCGACGGAAGCUUGCUUCUAUCAAUCUUAGUGGCGAACGGGUGAGUAACGCGUAAUCAACCUGCCCUUCAGAGGGGGACAACAGUUGGAAACGACUGCUAAUACCGCAUACGAUCUAAUCUCGGCAUCGAGGAUGGAUGAAAGGUGGCCUCUACAUGUAAGCUAUCACUGAAGGAGGGGAUUGCGUCUGAUUAGCUAGUUGGAGGGGGAACGGCCCGCCAAGGCGAUGAUCAGUAGCCGGUCUGAGAGGAUGAACGGCCACAUUGGGACUGAGACACGGCCCAGACUCCUACGGGAGGCAGCAGUGGGGAAUCUUCCGCAAUGGACGAAAGUCUGACGGAGCAACGCCGCGUGAGUGAUGACGGCCUUCGGGUUGUAAAGCUCUGUUAAUCGGGACGAAAGGCCUUCUUGCGAAUAGUGAGAAGGAUUGACGGUACCGGAAUAGAAAGCCACGGCUAACUACGUG